RNAcentral lists this ribosomal RNA (301 nucleotides) under uncultured bacterium. Its description in RNAcentral is "partial 16S ribosomal RNA". It matches the Rfam family "Bacterial small subunit ribosomal RNA", at positions 509 to 807 of the family's 1533-position model. The record is from RNAcentral.
CAGCAGCCACGGUAAUACGAAGGGUGCAAGCGUUACUCGGAAUUACUGGGCGUAAAGCGUGCGUAGGUGGUGGUUUAAGUCCGUUGUGAAAGCCCCGGGCUCAACCUGGGAAUGGCAGUGGAUACUGGCUCGCUAGAGUGUGUCAGAGGAUGGUGGAAUUCCCGGUGUAGCGGUGAAAUGCGUAGAGAUCGGGAGGAACAUCAGUGGCGAAGGCGGCCAUCUGGGACAACACUGACGCUGAGGCACGAAAGCGUGGGGAGCAAACAGGAUUAGAUACCCCCGUAGUCCCUGUCUCUUAUAC